This 1406-nucleotide ribosomal RNA is filed under the name Citrobacter werkmanii. Its description in RNAcentral is "bacterial SSU rRNA". It matches the Rfam family "Bacterial small subunit ribosomal RNA". Lineage: Bacteria; Pseudomonadati; Pseudomonadota; Gammaproteobacteria; Enterobacterales; Enterobacteriaceae. The record is from RNAcentral.
GGAGCAUUGCGGCGGUCUACCAUGCAGUCGAACGGUAGCACAGAGAGCUUGGUCUCGGGUGACGAGUGGGGGACGGGUGAGUAAUGUCUGGGAAACUGCCCGAUGGAGGGGGAUAACUACUGGAACGGUAGCUAAUACCGCAUAAUGUCUCAAGACCAAAGAGGGGGACCUUCGGGCCUCUUGCCAUCGCAUGUGCCCAGAUGGGAUUAUCUUUAGGUGGGUACGCUCACCUAUGCGACGAUCUAUCUGUCUAGAGGAUGACCACCCACACUGAACUGAGCACGUCCAGAUCUACGGAGGCAGCAGUGGGAAUAUUGCGCAAUUGGCGCAAGCCUGAUGCAGCCAUGCGCGUGUAUGAGAAGGCUUCGGGUUGUAAAGUACUUUCUGCGAGGAGGAGUGUUGUGGUAUAUCCCCAGCAAUUGACGUUACUCUCAGAAGAAGCACCGGCUAACUCCGUGCCAGCAGCCGCGGUAAUACGGAGGGUGCAAGCGUAAUCGGAAUUACUGGGCGUAAAGCGCACGCAGGCGGUCUGUCAAGUCGGAUGUGAAAUCCCCGGGCUCACCCUGGGAACUGCAUCCGAAACUGGGAGGCUAGAGUCUUGUAUAGGGGGGUAUAAUUCCAGGUGUAUCGGUGAAAUGCGUAUAGAUCUGGAGGAAUACCGGUGGCGAAGGCGGCCCCCUGGACAAAGACUGACGCUCAGGUGCGAAAGCGUGUGGAGCACACAGGAUUAUAUACCCUGGAGUCUACGCCGUAUACGAUGUCUACUUGUAGGUUGUGCCCUUGAGGCGUGUCUUCCGGAGCUAUCGCGUUAAUCUACCGCCUGUGGAGUACGGCCGCACGGUUAUAACUCACAUGUGUUGUCGGGGGCCCGCACAAGCGGUGGAGCAUGUGUUUUAAUUCUAUGCACGCGAGAACCUUACCUACUCUUGAGAUCUAGGGAAUUAUCAGAGAUGCUUUGGUGCCUUCUGGAACUGAGACAGUGCUGCAUGGCUGUCGUCAGCUCUGUGUGAAUGUUGGGUUAAGUCCGCAACGAGCGCAACCUUAUCCUUUGUGCCACGGUUGGUCGGAACUCAAGGAACUGCCAGUGUGAACUGGAGAAGGUGGAUACGUCAAGUCUCAUGGCCCUACGAAGGUCACACCGUGUCAUGCUACAGAGCACUUCGGGGAGUACCGGACCUUAAAUAGUCGUAGUCGGGAUUGGAGUCUGCAACUCGACUCCAUGAAGUCGGAAUCGCUAGUAAUCGUGGAUCAGAAUGCCACGGUGAAUACGUUCCCGGGCCUUGUACACACCGCCCGUCACACCAUGGGAGUGGGUUGCAAAAGAAGUAGGUAGCUUAACCUUCGGGAGGGCGCUUACCACUUUGUGAUUCAUGACUGGGGUGAAGUCGUAUCAAGAGCCGAGCCCC